AACGAACGCUGGCGGCAUGCCUAACACAUGCAAGUCGAACGAGACCUUCGGGUCUAGUGGCGCACGGGUGCGUAACGCGUGGGAACCUGCCCUUAGGUUCGGAAUAACUCCCCGAAAGGGGUGCUAAUACCGGAUAAUGUCUUCGGACCAAAGAUUUAUCGCCUUUGGAUGGGCCCGCGUUGGAUUAGCUAGUUGGGAGGGUAAAAGCCUACCAAGGCGACGAUCCAUAGCUGGUCUGAGAGGAUGAUCAGCCACACUGGGACUGAGACACGGCCCAGACUCAUACGGGAGGCAGCAGUGGGGAAUAUUGGACAAUGGGCGAAAGCCUGAUCCAGCAAUGCCGCGUGAGUGAUGAAGGCCUUAGGGUUGUAAAGCUCUUUUACCCGGGAUGAUAAUGACAGUACCGGGAGAAUAAGCUCCGGCUAACUCCGUG
Molecule: ribosomal RNA, 433 nt
Filed under: uncultured bacterium
Lineage: Bacteria
Description: partial 16S ribosomal RNA
Rfam family: Bacterial small subunit ribosomal RNA
Source: RNAcentral